UUGGAGUUGUAGUGGAUGCCUCAUAUUAUGUAAAGUUUUCUGAAGCUGGUGUUCAAGCCACCACUUCGACAGCUGAAGCUUCAGUAAAUACCACUUCAUUGCUAAAGGAUGCUGAAACUCAAACUGACAUCACAGGCAGUGUUCUGAAGAGUUUUGAAGCUGAUAACCAGGUCCUACGCACAGAGUUACAGGAGAUGAAGGGCUCUCUGGACACACUU
Molecule: long non-coding RNA, 218 nt
Organism: Rhipicephalus sanguineus (brown dog tick)
Lineage: Eukaryota; Metazoa; Arthropoda; Arachnida; Ixodida; Ixodidae
Exons: 3
Source: RefSeq, a predicted model, not a curated record